Long non-coding RNA from Pseudopipra pipra, 484 nucleotides. RefSeq lists it as uncharacterized. The record is from RefSeq and is a predicted model, not a curated record. Lineage: Eukaryota; Metazoa; Chordata; Aves; Passeriformes; Pipridae. The transcript is spliced from 4 exons.
GAACGAGACCCUCUUGUCUGGAAGGAGUGUUGGUGGUGCAUAUCGAUUCGUAUGCAGACAGUAUCCAACAUUCUUUUUUUGAUGAAAAUAGUAAUUAGUUGUUUAAUGCAGCAAAAGGAAAAAAAUACUUUAUUAGAUUUCACCAUUGAAGCAAAACUAGAAGUAUUCCAGUUGUCUUUUAACUUUGGAAGCUAAUAUAUAAAGAAACAUAGAAGUUUUCUUUCCCCAGUGUGUGUGCCUCUAUUCACCUAGACAGAGUUGUGAACCUGAACGAUUCUCACCUGUGAGGGGAAGGAACAAGUAAAAAUCAGUUUGUUUUGAAGAAAAGGAAAGAGUGAGAAGUAGUUCCUUGGUGCAGUGACUACUAAAAGCUGCCUUCUCCAACUUCCUCUGCUCCUGAGCUCUGCACGUAAAGCUCAAUCAUCAAAAAGAAGACAUUCUUCAACGCUAAAGCACAAUAAAAGAAAAAUUCAUGGUGUUCUCA